RNAcentral lists this unclassified non-coding RNA (274 nucleotides) under uncultured Bordetella sp. Its description in RNAcentral is "partial 16S-23S ribosomal RNA intergenic spacer". It matches the Rfam family "Bacterial small subunit ribosomal RNA", at positions 10 to 287 of the family's 1533-position model. Lineage: Bacteria; Pseudomonadati; Pseudomonadota; Betaproteobacteria; Burkholderiales; Alcaligenaceae. The record is from RNAcentral.
AGUUUGAUUCUGGCUCCAGAUUGAACGCUGGCAGGAUGCUUUACACAUGCAAGUCGAACGCUUGGCACGGACUCCGAAGUCUGGUGGCGAAGUGGCGGGCGGGUGAGUAAUGUAUCGGAACGUGCCUAGUAGCUGGGGAUAACUACGCGAAAGCGCUAAUACCACAUACGCCCUUCAGGAAAGCGGGGGUGCUUCGGGCCUCGCACUAUUAGAGCGGCCGAUAUCGGAUUAUUAGUUGGUGGGGUAACGGCUCACCAAGGCGACGAUCCGUAGC